GCAGCUGUGGCCCAUUGGUUACCGCUUCAGACUUGUAACCGGAGGGUUGCCGGUUCAAACCCUGACCACUAGGA
RNAcentral lists this transfer RNA (74 nucleotides) under Alosa alosa (allis shad). Its description in RNAcentral is "tRNA-OTHER". Lineage: Eukaryota; Metazoa; Chordata; Actinopteri; Clupeiformes; Clupeidae. The record is from RNAcentral.